This 491-nucleotide ribosomal RNA is filed under the name uncultured bacterium. RNAcentral describes it as "partial 16S ribosomal RNA". It matches the Rfam family "Bacterial small subunit ribosomal RNA", at positions 29 to 507 of the family's 1533-position model. The record is from RNAcentral.
GUGAACGCUGGCGGUAGGCCUAACACAUGCAAGUCGAACGGCAGCACAGUAAGAGCUUGCUCUUACGGGUGGCGAGUGGCGGACGGGUGAGGAAUACAUCGGAAUCUACUUUUUCGUGGGGGAUAACGUAGGGAAACUUACGCUAAUACCGCAUACGACCUACGGGUGAAAGCAGGGGAUCUUCGGACCUUGCGCGAUUGAAUGAGCCGAUGUCGGAUUAGCUAGUUGGCGGGGUAAAGGCCCACCAAGGUGACGAUCCGUAGCUGGUCUGAGAGGAUGAUCAGCCACACUGGAACUGAGACACGGUCCAGACUCCUACGGGAGGCAGCAGUGGGGAAUAUUGGACAAUGGUCGCAAGCCUGAUCCAGCCAUACCGCGUGGGUGAAGAAGGCCUACGGGUUGUAAAGCCCUUUUGUUGGGAAAGAAAAGCAGCAGGUUAAUACCCCGCUGUUCUGACGGUACCCAAAGAAUAAGCACCGGCUAACUUCGUG